CACGUCUGUGACUGGCGCUUCACUGGGAGGGGCGUGAGGCAAGGUAUAGCAAAUCUCCCUAGCAACAAACAUAGAAACGGAAAAAUAAACUUUGGAUGCACAACAUUCAAUUGAUUUCACAAGUUGCUGGGCUGGCUGCAUGAUGGAAAGCAAUCAGAGGACAGCUGAGCCCGCCAAGAGGGGAUGCCAGCCAGAUUAAAGACUUCCACCCGCCGGAGCUGUCUCUGAAGGUGAGGAGGAGAAAUGGCCCAUUGCUGGAGGGCACGUAGAUUUCAGGAGGCAGCCGCCCUGCCAAAGCUUUCUGAGUGACAUUGGGAUACAAAAUUUGCAUACAGAAGACGGAAAAUGUUUGGAGGAUAAAAAUAAGGAGGAGUAACAUGAUCCUCAGUUCAGAUCUUCCUCGAAGUAUUGAAAAAAACCAGAAGGAAAGCAGAGGCAAAGCUUCCAACAAUACUGUGUAAGUUACACAGUAAAAGUCUUCAGGAGCACAUGUCUUUGAAGUACCAUGGGGAAGACUCAAUCCUAUUACAGCCCUCCUG
Molecule: long non-coding RNA, 539 nt
Filed under: Cyanistes caeruleus (blue tit)
Lineage: Eukaryota; Metazoa; Chordata; Aves; Passeriformes; Paridae
Description: lncRNA (ENSCCEG00000004720.1)
Source: RNAcentral